RNAcentral lists this ribosomal RNA (465 nucleotides) under Vreelandella stevensii. RNAcentral describes it as "partial 16S ribosomal RNA". It matches the Rfam family "Bacterial small subunit ribosomal RNA", at positions 338 to 795 of the family's 1533-position model. The record is from RNAcentral. Lineage: Bacteria; Pseudomonadati; Pseudomonadota; Gammaproteobacteria; Oceanospirillales; Halomonadaceae.
CCUACGGGUGGCAGCAGCGGGGAAUAUUGGACAAUGGGCGAAAGCCUGAUCCAGCCAUGCCGCGUGUGUGAAGAAGGCCUUCGGGUUGUAAAGCACUUUCAGUGGGGAAGAAAGCCUUGGGGCUAAUACCCUCGAGGAAGGACAUCACCCACAGAAGAAGCACCGGCUAACUCCGUGCCAGCAGCCGCGGUAAUACGGAGGGUGCGAGCGUUAAUCGGAAUUACUGGGCGUAAAGCGCGCGUAGGCGGUCUGAUAAGCCGGUUGUGAAAGCCCCGGGCUCAACCUGGGAACGGCAUCCGGAACUGUCAGGCUAGAGUGCAGGAGAGGAAGGUAGAAUUCCCGGUGUAGCGGUGAAAUGCGUAGAGAUCGGGAGGAAUACCAGUGGCGAAGGCGGCCUUCUGGACUGACACUGACGCUGAGGUGCGAAAGCGUGGGUAGCAAACAGGAUUAGAUACCCCUGUAGUC